UUUAACUCAGGAUUGGAAUGGAUGCGGAUAUCCGAAUUUUAUCUAAAUCCGAAUUUAAAUAGCAUGGAUUUAUUUAAUACUAAAUGGAUGGUUUCGGAUUUGAAUAUAAAAAAUAAAAAUUUUACAAAUUUGAAUUCGGGAAUGAAUUUUUUCCUCACUCGACUUGAGCCCAAAUUGAUUUAACAUUAUAUAAUAUAUGUGAAUGUUUGAUGUUAUAUUUUGAUUUGUAUUUUAAAAUUUUAGAUUUUAUUAUAAUAUAUUUUGAAAUAUGAUAAAAAGAAAUAAUUGCUUCAGGUUUGAGAUUUUGGGUUUGGAUUUGGAUUUCGGAUUUCAAAUUAUUGGCCGUGUUCGGGUAUGAAUUUAAAUUUUCAAAAUCUAUCAGGUUCGGGUUUGGAUUUUAGAUUCAGGUUUGAGAUUUGAAAAAUUCGUCUCGAAUCUGUCCCGUUGGUAUCCCUAGGUUUUACGAAUCUCUAGCAUAAAUAGACAAUUAUACCCUUCAUAAAUGAAGGGUUGAAAUGAGUACUAUCUACUUUGAAAUACAAGUACAGAAGGGCAACCCAAUUUAGUGAGAGUGUUUUCAGGUCACAUGUCCCUAACCCUAGCUCGUGUGAUGUCCUCUCAACUCAAAAUUCAUGUAUUACCUAAUCCUAAUUUUAGACAUAUGCAUAACUAUCAGAUAAACAUAUACAGAACUUAUUUGAAUUAUGAAUUAUUAUGAAUUGAUUGAUAUAUACAGAACAUAUUUGAACUAUGAAUUAUUUCGAGUUGGUUAUAUAUCUAAUUUUUUAAAUUUUUUUUGAUUUUUUUAUCUGAUCUUACAAUUUACUUGAUUUGAGCCAAUCAGCGAUACUUUGACUUCAAAAAUACGUCGCUUAUUUUUACAGAUUUUAUUAGAUAUUUCAUUCAAUUUUUGCAAUUAAAAAUUUAUUAAGGUACGUAAUUAGUUUAAAUUUUGAAGUCAAAAUAUCGUUGAUUGACUCAAAUUAAAAUAAAGUGAAAAGUUGGGUGCAUAACUGAUUCAAAAUAGUCCAUAGUUCAAUUUUUUUUUUGUUUUUGAGAGAAAGUCCAUAGUUCAGAAUU
This 1080-nucleotide long non-coding RNA is filed under the name Ananas comosus (pineapple). RNAcentral describes it as "long non-coding RNA (ACOM_LNC004890)". Lineage: Eukaryota; Viridiplantae; Streptophyta; Magnoliopsida; Poales; Bromeliaceae. The record is from RNAcentral.